Molecule: ribosomal RNA, 253 nt
Filed under: uncultured bacterium
Lineage: Bacteria
Description: partial 16S ribosomal RNA
Rfam family: Bacterial small subunit ribosomal RNA
Source: RNAcentral
UACGUAGGGGGCAAGCGUUGUCCGGAAUCAUUGGGCGUAAAGCGCGUGUAGGCGGUUCGGGAAGUCGGCUGUGAAAGUCCAGGGCUCAACCCUGGGAUGCCGGUCGAUACUGCCGGACUAGAGUCCGGAAGAGGCAAGUGGAAUUCCCGGUGUAGCGGUGAAAUGCGCAGAUAUCAGGAGGAACACCGGUGGCGAAGGCGGUUCUCUGGGCAUUACCUGACGCUGAGGAGCGAAAGUGUGGGGAGCGAACAGG